RNAcentral lists this ribosomal RNA (331 nucleotides) under uncultured eukaryote. RNAcentral's name for it is "partial 18S ribosomal RNA". It matches the Rfam family "Eukaryotic small subunit ribosomal RNA", at positions 1470 to 1796 of the family's 1831-position model. The record is from RNAcentral.
CCCUUAGAUGUUCUGGGCCGCACGCGCGCUACACUGACGAAGUCAGCGAGCAUGUCCUACGCCGACAGGUGCGGGGAAUCUUGUCAAACUUCGUCGUGAUGGGGAUUGAUUAUUGAAAUUCUUGAUCAUCAACGAGGAAUUCCUAGUAAGCGCAAGUCAGCAGCUUGCGUUGAUUACGUCCCUGCCCUUUGUACACACCGCCCGUCGCUACUACCGAUUGAAUGGUUUAGUGAUAUCUUCGGAUUGGCGCCACUGCGGCUCAGCAAUGGGCUCGGUGGAUGCCGAAAAGUUGAUCAAACUUGAUCAUUUAGAGGAAGUAAAAGUCGUAACA